This 465-nucleotide ribosomal RNA is filed under the name uncultured bacterium. RNAcentral's name for it is "partial 16S ribosomal RNA". It matches the Rfam family "Bacterial small subunit ribosomal RNA", at positions 28 to 507 of the family's 1533-position model. The record is from RNAcentral.
GACGAACGCUGGCGGCGUGCUUAACACAUGCAAGUCGAACGGAAAGGCCCCUUUGGGGGUACUCGAGUGGCGAACGGGGGAGUAACACGUGAGUAACCGGCCCUUGACUUCGGGAUAACUUCAGGAAACUGGGGCUAAUACCGGAUAGGAAUCCUUGCUGCAUGGUGGGGGGUGGAAAGCUUCGGCGGUUUUGGAUGGACUCGCGGCUUAUCAGCGUGUUGGUGGGGUAGUGGCUUACCAAGGCUUUGACGGGUAGCCGGCCUGAGAGGGCGACCGGCCACAUUGGGACUGAGAUACGGCCCAGACUCCUACGGGAGGCAGCAGUGGGGAAUAUUGCACAAUGGGCGGCAGCCUGAUGCAGCAACGCCGCGUGCGGGAUGACGGCCUUCGGGUUGUAAACCGCUUUCAGCAGGGGCGAAGCUUGUGGUGACGGUACCUGCAGAAGAAGCACCGGCUAACUACGUG